Molecule: long non-coding RNA, 2883 nt
Organism: Pongo pygmaeus (Bornean orangutan)
Lineage: Eukaryota; Metazoa; Chordata; Mammalia; Primates; Hominidae
Exons: 4
Source: RefSeq, a predicted model, not a curated record
UCGGAAACUGCAACAGAUGGAAAAAAGGACACCUCCCUCCUUCCCUCCUCCACCCCAGGGAAGAAAAGCCUCCCCGUCUUGUUUUUGACAGCUGCCCCGAACUCUGCUGUCCCUGCUCUAGCCGCACAAGACAGCCGCCUCUGAUUCAAGGGGCGGGACACGGGAGGAAAAGUAUUCGAGACAAGAACCAACUUCUUCCAGAAUGCGCGGCUGCCAUUGACACGCGGGCGCGGCGCGGCGCACCCUUCUCCUCCCGGGGCUCUUCCUCCAGCAGCAACAGUGGGAGGUCGGCGGGGGUGGGGCGGCGGGGGGGGGAAUGAAGAGACACAGCCUAAGCGAACGUCUGUUCCCCCGGGCUAAAGCUGCGAGUUCCGGACUGGAUUGCAAGGCAGUUUCGAAAUCUGACACGUUGCGGACAGACACUUGUCAUGCUCACAUGCUCUUUAAACUUCUCUGCCCGGGGACGGCCGGGCGCGCGCACGCCUCGCCAAGACUCCGCCUGACACCCCUAGUCGCCAGACCCCGGCAGCGGUCACUUUUAUGGCUAAAGGGUGACCACGCCGUGGCUGCUCAUCUGUUUCGGUCAACAGUGUCUACUCUUAGGAUUGGAACCCUGCUAGGGGAUCCCUCCUCCCCUCCGGUAUUUCAAACAGAAACUAGCCAUUAAGUAAACACCCGUUCCUGUUGACUUAUUUUGGUCCACAGUUAGGAGGGAUCCAACAGAAGUUUCUUGAUGAAAUUGCGCUUUCAGAGACCAGAUGCCGUUUGGCUGACUUAAAGAAACGCAUGUCCCCUCCUCUGGUUCUAGUUUUCGCGUGGUUACGUCCUGUUGUUUUGAAGCAAACGAACUGUCACAUGCCACACAAUGAGACUUCCCUCAUCACUUUAAAAAAAGGAAAGAAAAGCCCCAAACGUAAAUAAGCCUAGCAGAGACAGCGCCCGGGUCUGCCUCCAGUCUGGGCUCUGUGCUGUUUUUGUUCGGUAACCUCGGUGGAGAUCCCGGCAGAAGAAACUGUGGAAAUAAGAUUAAACCCGAGGAGUACUAAGACGGCCAAGGGAUAACUAACUCGACUUUGGAGCGUCUGUUUCAGGAUUACGCCGAAAAUUAGAGCCAGCCUGCCACCCUCCCUCAAAAAAAAAAAAAAAAUAAGAUACCCCCGCCCCUAGAAUGCGUGGAGGCCAGAGUUUAAAAAGCCUGGGUGGUUUUUCCAAUUACAGGACUAAAAUGAAUCAACAGGGGAAAAAAGCGUCUCUCUAAGAAGGCAGCAACCUUACGAUUUUUUUCUUCUGUGGUUUGCUGACUGCUCGGCACAGAAGAGAACACACAUCUAAAACGGCUCGGGGGGAACGUGGUCCUGGGGAGAAGCCACCCGCCCGGACGCUGCCCUGCAACUGCCGGGAGCACAGUUCCUUCCCGGACCUGGCUGCAGAUGAAUCAGCUGCUGCGCCCGGUGCGGGACAGAUGUGGCGGAGGGAGGGGGCCAGCGCCCCCGCCGCCCGUUAGAGGGCCGCCUCGCUAUUUCAUUUGAAGGGUUGUUUGUGGCUGGGAUUGGUGGCUCAUAUCCGCUGGGGAGCCGGGAGCUGAGGGAGGAGAGACGCAGGGAGGAGGAGCCGGGGGCUGGGCGACGCUGCGACUCCGCGGCCUGAGUGGCAGGAGCCUCGUCUGGAACCGGGCGGUUACUGGGGAGACGCUUUGUUUGCUAACUUCGAGAGCGGCUUCGGCUGCCUCGGCCGCUUUCAAAGCCACUCCACAAAACACGCCUUCGGUCGGUUUAACCCUGCCUCCCCCCGCCCGCUUUAGCCAGCUCGAGACAAAAAUGUUUCCCUCUUCCCUGUGGUUCUCCUUGGCCACGCGGUGGCUCUCAUUAUGUACACAAAGGUAGCUUUGCUUUCGUCCAAGUGCACUUGGCUAAUGACUGCGAUUCUUAGGCAACCGAGAUGGAAACCGAGAAUUGGCACACAUAGUUCCUUUUGGUGUCUUAUCUUCUGAAGCUGCCUCAAGGCCAAGCAAAGAAAGUUGUUAAAAAGUUAAGUUACUUUUCACGGCCUGCAAACCCUUCAAAGGCAAGAACUCAAAUAGAAACUUGGAAAGGCAGUUCUUGGAUAUCCUGCAGUGGUGUGAUCAUAGCUCAUUGUAGCCACAAACUCCCAGGCUCAAGUGAUCCUCCCACCUCAGCCUCCCAAGUAGCUGGGACUACAGAUGAAUGCCACCUUGCCCAGGUAGCAUCCUGGAACCAAUCCCCCAUGGAUACCAAGGGACAACUGUACAUGGCUGACAGCUGGAGACUAUAGAUCCCAGUCUGCCUUCUUGACUGAUGUGGUCACAUGACUAGGUUCAAGCCAAUGGUGAGUGAAAAUGAAGUGUGCAACUUCCAAGUCAUCCCCUUAAAGAAAUAUCUACUUACCUUGGACUUUCCCUUGGGCUGGAAUGUGGAAGUGGAGGUUAGCCAGCUUCUACCACGUGGAAAAGACACCAACCUAGAUAACAGCAGCACAAAAUCAGGACCCCUGAGUAACUUUGUGGAGUACAGCUUCAUUGUAACACUGGGCCCUUUCACCGAUAGACAAUUUGGGGAGAGGAAAAAAAAAAACAACUUCGAUCAUAUGUAAGCCCUAUAUUUUUUGUCUCUCUGCCUUUAGCUUAACUAACAAAAAGCUGUUAAGAAUAACUCCCCACUUUUUUUUGUAGAGAUGGGGUCUUGCUUUGUUGCCCAGGCUGGUCUUGAACUCCUGGGCUCAAGGGAUCUUCCUACCUUCGUCUCCCAAAGUGCUAGGAUUACAGACAUGAGCCACUGCACCCGGGCAGAAUAACCGUUUUACUAUUCCAAAAGUGAUAUAUGUCAAUUGUAGAAAAUUCAGAAAACAGUGAACAAAAAGAAGAAA